This 408-nucleotide ribosomal RNA is filed under the name uncultured bacterium. RNAcentral describes it as "partial 16S ribosomal RNA". It matches the Rfam family "Bacterial small subunit ribosomal RNA", at positions 28 to 526 of the family's 1533-position model. The record is from RNAcentral.
GACGAACGCUGGCGGCGUGCUUAACACAUGCAAGUCGAACGAAGUGGCGAACGGGUGAGUAACGCGUAAUCAACCUGCCCUUCAGAGGGGGCCAACAGUUGGAAACGACUGCUAAUACCGCAUACGGAAGGAGGGGAUUGCGUCUGAUUGGCUAGUUGGAGGGGUAACGGCCCACCAAGCCGAUGAACAGGAGCCGGUCUUAUAGAUGGAACGGCCACACUGGGACUGAGACACGGCCUAGACUCCUACGGUAGGCAGCAGUGGUGAAUCUUCCGCAAUCGACGAAAGUCUGACGGAGCAACGCCGCGUGACUGAUGACGGCCUUCGGGUUGUAAAGCUCUGUUAAUCGGGACGCGGUACCGGAAUAGAAAGCCACAGCUAACUACGUGCCAGCCGCCGCGGUAAUAC